RNAcentral lists this ribosomal RNA (377 nucleotides) under uncultured eukaryote. Its description in RNAcentral is "partial 18S ribosomal RNA". It matches the Rfam family "Eukaryotic small subunit ribosomal RNA", at positions 592 to 976 of the family's 1831-position model. The record is from RNAcentral.
CAAUAGCGUAUAUUUAAGUUGCUGCAGUUAAAAAGCUCGUAGUUGGAUUUCGGGUGGGAAUGGCCGGUCCGCCGUUUCGGUGUGCACUUGCUACGCCCACCUUGCUGCCGGGGACGUGCUCUUGAGUUCACGCUCGGGACACGGAGUCGGCGAGGUUACUUUGAGUAAAUUAGAGUGUUCAAAGCAGGCCUACGCUCUGAAUACAUUAGCAUGGAAUAACACGAUAGGACUCUGGCCUAUCUUGUUGGUCUGUAGGACCGGAGUAAUGAUUAAGAGGGACAGUCGGGGGCAUUCGUAUUCCAUUGUCAGAGGUGAAAUUCUUGGAUUUAUGAAAGACGAACUACUGCGAAAGCAUUUGCCAAGGAUGUUUUCAUUAA